AUUUAUAUAGUAUAAAGUAUAUUUGACUUCCAAUCAAAAGGUCUAUUAAUUAAUAGUAUAAAUA
This 64-nucleotide transfer RNA is filed under the name Endopterygota sp. 24 LC-2017. RNAcentral describes it as "tRNA-Gly". It matches the Rfam family "tRNA". Rfam says of the family: Transfer RNA (tRNA) molecules are approximately 80 nucleotides in length. Lineage: Eukaryota; Metazoa; Arthropoda; Insecta. The record is from RNAcentral. RNAcentral also lists the same sequence under 1 other name.